Molecule: transfer RNA, 69 nt
Filed under: Gymnammodytes semisquamatus (smooth sandeel)
Lineage: Eukaryota; Metazoa; Chordata; Actinopteri; Uranoscopiformes; Ammodytidae
Description: tRNA-Met
Rfam family: tRNA
About the family: Transfer RNA (tRNA) molecules are approximately 80 nucleotides in length. Their secondary structure includes four short double-helical elements and three loops (D, anti-codon, and T loops).
Source: RNAcentral
AGUAAAGUCAGCUAAAUAAGCUCUUGGGCCCAUACCCCAAACAUGUUGGUUAGAAUCCUUCCUUUGCUA